GUAAUUAUUAAUUUUUUUCAGACGCUGAUUGCAACUGCAAAGGGUUUAAAUUGUCCAAUCGGCGGGCGAACCCACCGAGGAAACGUAAGUACUCAAAAGACAUGGGUAAGAGAUAGCAGGCAAAGCCCGCAAACUCUAGGUAAUGAUCCUUCCGCAGGUUCACCUACGGAAA
Molecule: unclassified non-coding RNA, 172 nt
Filed under: uncultured fungus
Lineage: Eukaryota; Fungi
Description: sequence contains ITS1
Source: RNAcentral